GACGAACGCUGGCGGCGUGCUUAACACAUGCAAGUCGAACGGAACGGCCCUGCUGUUGGCGUGUGCUCGAGUGGCGAAAGGGUGGGUAAACCGUGGGUAACCUCCCCUUGACCUUAGCAUAACUUCGGGAAAAUGGGGUUGAUACAGGAUAGAAGAUCCCGCAACAUGGUGUGCGUUGGAGCAUUACGGUGGAUGGGGAUGUCGUCGGUGCUUGUUAGCUAGUUGGUGGGGUAGUGGCCUACCAAGGGUAGGAUGGGUAGCCGACCGGAGAGGGUGACCGGCCACACUGGGACUGAGACACGGCCCAGACUCCUACGGGAGCGAGCAGUAGGGAAUCGUCGGCAAUGGGCGAAAGUCUGACCGAGCAACGCCGCGUGAGUGAAGAAGGUUUUCGGAUCGUAAAACUCUGUUGUUAGAGAAGAACACGGACGUUAGUAACUGAACGUCCCCUGACGGUAUCUAACCAGAAAGCCACGGCUAACUACGUU
Molecule: ribosomal RNA, 488 nt
Filed under: uncultured bacterium
Lineage: Bacteria
Description: partial 16S ribosomal RNA
Rfam family: Bacterial small subunit ribosomal RNA
Source: RNAcentral